Xenia sp. Carnegie-2017 is the source of this 476-nucleotide long non-coding RNA. RefSeq lists it as uncharacterized. NCBI's taxonomy places the organism in Eukaryota, Metazoa, Cnidaria, Anthozoa, Malacalcyonacea, Xeniidae. The transcript has 3 exons. The record is from RefSeq and is a predicted model, not a curated record.
AUGCAAGAAACACAAGAAACGCGUGUUUAGCGUUGCCGGCUAUCGCCCUCGAAAUUAUCCACGGAAGGGGAGAGACCUGCUGAGCUCUACUUCAUCAUCUGUGUCGACUAGCUCGACGAAUCCGCUGUUGAACAAUCAGCGUUUUCGAAGACAUGACUCGGCUUUGUCAGACGACCGCUACUGGUGGUUGUCGAAUACGCACCUUUCGGCAUUUUACGAGAAUAUCUUCGUGAAAGAAGACUUGACCGAAACGGAGAGACCAUUCCAAUAGAAGGAGAAGAAAAGUUGUGCUUUAGGGAUUUCGUCUCCUUCAGUUAUCAAAUUGCUCGUGGAAUGGAAUAUUUGUCAGGAAGAAAGUGUAUUCAUCGCGAUCUUGCUGCCAGGAAUAUUUUAGUUGGUGAAGAUAAAGUAAUGAAAAUUGCAGACUUUGGUUUAGCUCGCGACAUUAAUCAGAUUGACUAUUACCGCAAAAAAAC